AGUGAACGCUGGCGGUAGGCCUAACACAUGCAAGUCGAACGGCCGCACAGUGAGCGCUUGCUCUUACGGGUGGCGAGUGGCGGACGGGUAACGCGUAGAUCGGCAUCUACUUUUUCUUGGGUGAUAUCGUGGGGCAACUUACGCUACUACCGCAUACGUCCUACGGGUGAAAGCAAUAGUUCUUCACGCCUUUCGCGAUUCAAUGAGCCGGAGUCGCAUUAGCUAGUUUGCGGGGUAAAGGCCCACCAAGGCAACGAUGCGUAGCUGGGCUGAGAGGAUGAUCAGCCACACUGGAACUGAGACACGGUCCAGACUCCUACGGGAGGCAGCAGUGGGGAAUCUUCGACAAUGGGCGAAAGCCUGACGCAGCAACGCCGCGUGAGUGAAGAAGGUCUUCGGGUUGUAAAGCUCUGUUGUUAGGAAAGAAAAGAAGCAGGUUAAACCCCGGACGUCCUGACGGUACCUAAAGAAUAAGCAACGGCUAACUACGUG
RNAcentral lists this ribosomal RNA (492 nucleotides) under uncultured bacterium. RNAcentral's name for it is "partial 16S ribosomal RNA". It matches the Rfam family "Bacterial small subunit ribosomal RNA", at positions 29 to 507 of the family's 1533-position model. The record is from RNAcentral.